UACGGAAGGCAGCAGUGGGGAAUAUUGCACAAUGGGCGCAAGCCUGAUGCAGCCAUGCCGCGUGUAUGAAAAAGGCCUUCGGGUUGUAAAGUACUUUCAGUCGUGAGGAAGGUGUUAAGGUUAAUAACCUUAGCAAUUGACGUUAGCGACAGAAGAAGCACCGGCUAACUCCGUGCCAGCAGCCGCGGUAAUACGGAGGGUGCGAGCGUUAAUCGGAAUUACUGGGCGUAAAGGGCACGCAGGCGGUUAAUUAAGUUGGAUGUGAAAUCCCCGGGCUUAACCUGGGAAUGGCAUUCAAGACUGGUUAGCUAGAGUCUUGUAGAGGGGGUAGAAUUCCAUGUGUAGCGGUGAAAUGCGUAGAGAUGUGGAGGAAUACCGGUGGCGAAGGCGGCCCCUGGACAAAGACUGACGCUUAUGUGCGAAAGCUGGGGAGCAAACAGGGAUUAGAUACCCGU
Molecule: ribosomal RNA, 455 nt
Filed under: uncultured bacterium
Lineage: Bacteria
Description: bacterial SSU rRNA
Rfam family: Bacterial small subunit ribosomal RNA
Source: RNAcentral